GAUGAACGCUGGCGGCGUGCCUAAUACAUGCAAGUCGAGCGAACAGACGAGGAGCUUGCUCCUCUGACGUUAGCGGCAGACGGGUGAGUAACACGUGGAUAACCUACCUAUAAGACUGGGAUAACUUCGGGAAACCGGAGCUAAUACCGGAUAAUAUAUUGAACCGCAUGGUUCAAUAGUGAAAGACGGUUUUGCUGUCACUUAUAGAUGGAUCCGCGCCGCAUUAGCUAGUUGGUAAGGUAACGGCUUACCAAGGCAACGAUGCGUAGCCGACCUGAGAGGGUGAUCGGCCACACUGGAACUGAGACACGGUCCAGACUCCUACGGGAGGCAGCAGUAGGGAAUCUUCCGCAAUGGGCGAAAGCUUGACGGAGCAACGCCGCGUGAGUGAUGAAGGUCUUCGGAUCGAAAAACUCUGUUAUUAGGGAAGAACAAAUGUGUAAGUAACUAUGCACGUCUUGACGGU
This 466-nucleotide ribosomal RNA is filed under the name uncultured bacterium. RNAcentral describes it as "bacterial SSU rRNA". It matches the Rfam family "Bacterial small subunit ribosomal RNA", at positions 28 to 476 of the family's 1533-position model. The record is from RNAcentral.